This 2143-nucleotide long non-coding RNA is filed under the name Oncorhynchus kisutch (coho salmon). Its description in RNAcentral is "lncRNA (ENSOKIG00005042354.1)". The record is from RNAcentral. Lineage: Eukaryota; Metazoa; Chordata; Actinopteri; Salmoniformes; Salmonidae.
UUCUUCAGGAACAACAAGGCGCCAACUAUUCCAACCAUGUCGGUAGCUUGCUAGCCAACAUAAAAGUGAAAGAUUGACGCUUUAGACCAUCUUAAUGUACAUUAUCUAAUCUCAGUGUUUUAAACACAGUUCUGUUGACGUAUUAACUGGUUAACUGUAACCUAAUUUGCAAACUUGUUAAAGAUUUAUGCUGAGCCUAGCACUAAGCUAGUCGCUAAUGCUAACUAGCUAGCUAACAUCCCUGACCAUGAGUUCAUUAAAGUACUCAUCCCUGCUAUAGAAGAGGAGGUCUGCUGUUUGGAGAAAGAAGUUCUGGCACUGAACAUUGAAGAAGAGGAUGAGGUUACAGUGAAAGAAGAGAAAGAACCUUUUAGAAUGAAAAAGGAGGAAGAGGAGGCUGUUAUAGUGAAAGAACAUUUCAGAAUGAAAAAGGAGGAAGAGGAGACUGUUAUAGUGAAGGAAGAAGAUGCUGUUAUAGUGAAAGAACAUUUCAGAAUGAAAAAGGAGGAAGAGGAAACUGUUAUAGUGAAAGAAGAGAAUGAACCUUUUAGAGAAGAAGAGGAUGCUAUCUCAAUAAAGGUGAAGGAGGAAGAUGUUUUUGGAGUGAAAGAGGAAGAGACAGAAUAUCAGAUUAACACCAGAGAGAGACAUGACUAUGGUGGAUCCUCUGGGGAGCCUCAACAACAUCCUGAUGCUGACGAGGCAGAGAAGAGUCUCUCCAGAUCAGAACACCAGAUGGACAACGCUAGCCCUUCCUCUCUCCAGGAGUCCCGGUGUCGUGCCUCUCCCGGUAGCACCUUACUGCUGGGUAUGAAGAGGUUGUCUGUGCUGCUGGUGGACUGCAGGAAAACAACAGGGCUGAGUGGAACUGUGAGAGGAGGAGAAGAGAAGAAAGGAUCAGAUUUGACACAUCAAAGUAAGUGCUGUAGUUUAGUUUGAAUAAAUACAAUAGAUCUGCCCACUGGUGUCUGUUACCAGGAAGAUAGACUGGUGUCUGUUACCAGGAUAACCAGCAGAGAUCUGUUAGUUGACGGGAAGAUAGACUGGUGGAAAUGGAUGUUAUGAAUAUCAUAACACUGAAAAGGAUUCUGCCAAUGAAAAGAGAGAAACCAAUUGACCAUAUAAAACCUUGAUGAAAGUUAGCUUUAGAGAGAAAGUUUCAAUGAUCCAAUGUAAGGUGCUUGUUUUACAAAAACUUUUCCUUAAAACAUUAUGGAUGUUACAUAGCCUGUCCCAGUCAACACCCCUAUCUUUACAAGACUUCUAGAACAGGCAAACUAAACUCAAGACUUUGGUAAUUAAUUAACUACUACUGGAGGAAAGCUGUGAUCAGGCUGCCUACUCAAGCAAAAGCUUCAAACUGUAACCAGUGCCGGCAACCUUGUUCAGGUUAUCAAUCAACCUACCAGGGUAGUUACAAACAGUAGAGGAAUGAAAUCAUCAACAUGGUUUGAUCAUAUCUUUACUAAUGCUGCAGAAAUGGGUUUUAAAGCAGUAUCCAGAUCCAUCAGAUGUAGUGAUCACAAUAUAGCACCAUGUCUAGGAAAACCACUGUUCCAAAGGCUGGGACUAAUAUUGUGUAUAAGAGGUCAUACAUUUUUUUGUAGUGAUUCCUAUGUUAUUGAUGUAAAUAAUAUUUGUUGGUCUGUGGUGUGUAAUGAUGAGCAACCAGAAAUUGCCCUUGUAAAAACUGUUAAAUCCACGUGAAUUGAUGAGUAAUUAAAAAAUGGUAUGAUAAAGAGGGAGGGAAAAGAGAUGGCAAAUAGGUCUGGAGAGAGAAUAAAGUAGAUGUCACGGGUCAAAAUUUUGAUUGAUGACCCUAUGUGAACCUAUGUGAACUCUAUGUGAACCCUAUGUAGUGAUGACGUGUGCAUGUCUUCUGGUCAGGCAAGCCUGGUUAGGUGGGGGCUAUGGGGUGAGUAAGGGUCCAUUUGACAGGCCGUUAAUGAUUGAUGACCCAAGCCUGAUUUAUGACCCUAUGUAAUGAUUUAUGACCCUAUGUCAUGUAGAAGGGUGUAUGCCCAGGGGGGUUGGUGGGGUUGAGUAAGUGACCAUGUGUCAGGUCAACCUGUUACUGUUUCUCACGGUUUGGGUUGGUUAAGGCCCCUUAUAAAGCCGCUGAACAAUACCUGUUUAAGAGUGC